GUAGGUGAACCUGCGGAAGGAUCAUUAACACGUAUCCACGUUCUACCUAAGCGAAUCGUGCGCUCGCGCACCUCCCUUCACACGUCACUGGUCGGAUCGACAGCCCUGCGCAGGAGAUUGAAUGGGCACGGCUCGCGCCGUCGCUGCCUGCGUUCCGCUCACAGGCGCAUGAGUCCGCUCGUGCGCCGACGAUCCCCUCGGUGACAGAAGGCAUGUCCGUCGGCUCGACUCCCGCUACAUCCGUUCAACGGCAGGGGGGCGAGUCGCACUCACACACACAUCAGUCACACCUUUUUUUGCUAGUUGACUUUUUGACUGCUGUCGGUCGUCGCUCGUCGGCGCCCGCUCAGCGCGUUUAAAUUCUAUUUGAACGAUAUCGUACAACUCUUAGCAAUGGAUAUCUCGGUUCUC
Molecule: unclassified non-coding RNA, 411 nt
Filed under: rhizosphere metagenome
Description: partial ribosomal RNA internal transcribed spacer region
Source: RNAcentral